UCGGAGAGUUUGAUCCUGGCUCAGGAUGAACGCUGGCGGCGUGCCUAAUACAUGCAAGUCGAGCGAACUGAUUAGAAGCUUGCUUCUAUGACGUUAGCGGCGGACGGGUGAGUAACACGUGGGCAACCUGCCUGUAAGACUGGGAUAACUUCGGGAAACCGAAGCUAAUACCGGAUAGGAUCUUCUCCUUCAUGGGAGAUGAUUGAAAGAUGGUUUCGGCUAUCACUUACAGAUGGGCCCGCGGUGCAUUAGCUAGUUGGUGAGGUAACGGCUCACCAAGGCAACGAUGCAUAGCCGACCUGAGAGGGUGAUCGGCCACACUGGGACUGAGACACGGCCCAGACUCCUACGGGAGGCAGCAGUAGGGAAUCUUCCGCAAUGGACGAAAGUCUGACGGAGCAACGCCGCGUGAGUGAUGAAGGCUUUCGGGUCGUAAAACUCUGUUGUUAGGGAAGAACAAGUACAAGAGUAACUGCUUGUACCUUGACGGUACCUAACCAGAAAGCCACGGCUAACUACGUGCCAGCAGCCGCGGUAAUACGUAGGUGGC
Molecule: ribosomal RNA, 550 nt
Filed under: Priestia megaterium
Lineage: Bacteria; Bacillati; Bacillota; Bacilli; Caryophanales; Bacillaceae
Description: bacterial SSU rRNA
Rfam family: Bacterial small subunit ribosomal RNA
Source: RNAcentral